UGGGGAAUAUUGGGUAAUGGGCGCAAGCCUGACCCAGCGACGCCGCGUGGGUGAUGAAGGCCUUCGGGUCGUAAAGCCCUGUCGGGUGGAAAGAACGGUAUGGGUGCAAAUAGCGCUCAUACGUGACGGUACCACCGAAGGAAGCACCGGCCAAUUCCGUGCCAGCAGCCGCGGUAAGACGGAAGGUGCAAGCGUUGCUCGGAAUCACUGGGCGUAAAGGGUGCGUAGGCGGCUGUGUAAGUCUGGCGUGAAAGCCCAGGGCUCAGCCCUGGAAGGGCGCUAGAAACUGCGCGGCUAGAGUGCCGGAGGGGAGAGUGGAAUUCCUGGUGUAGCGGUGAAAUGCGUAGAUA
RNAcentral lists this ribosomal RNA (350 nucleotides) under uncultured bacterium. RNAcentral describes it as "bacterial SSU rRNA". It matches the Rfam family "Bacterial small subunit ribosomal RNA", at positions 355 to 696 of the family's 1533-position model. The record is from RNAcentral.